CACCUCCCACCCGUGUUUAUUUUACCUUGUUGCUUCGGCGGGCCCGCCUUAACUGGCCGCCGGGGGGCUUACGCCCCCGGGCCCGCGCCCGCCGAAGACACCCUCGAACUCUGUCUGAAGAUUGUAGUCUGAGUGAAAAUAUAAAUUAUUUAAAACUUUCAACAACGGAUCUCUUGGUUCCGGCAUCGAUGAAGAACGCAGCGAAAUGCGAUACGUAAUGUGAAUUGCAAAUUCAGUGAAUCAUCGAGUCUUUGAACGCACAUUGCGCCCCCUGGUAUUCCGGGGGGCAUGCCUGUCCGAGCGUCAUUUCUGCCCUCAAGCACGGCUUGUGUGUUGGGCCCCGUCCUCCGAUCCCGGGGGACGGGCCCGAAAGGCAGCGGCGGCACCGCGUCCGGUCCUCGAGCGUAUGGGGCUUUGUCACCCGCUCUGUAGGCCCGGCCGGCGCUUGCCGAUCAACCCAAAUUUUUAUCCAGGUUGACCUCGGAUCAGGUAGGGAUACCCGCUGAACUUAAGCAUAUCAA
This 521-nucleotide ribosomal RNA is filed under the name Penicillium chrysogenum. RNAcentral's name for it is "eukaryotic LSU rRNA". The stretch from base 154 to 306 matches the Rfam family "5.8S ribosomal RNA". Lineage: Eukaryota; Fungi; Ascomycota; Eurotiomycetes; Eurotiales; Aspergillaceae. The record is from RNAcentral.